Molecule: long non-coding RNA, 31174 nt
Filed under: Olea europaea (common olive)
Lineage: Eukaryota; Viridiplantae; Streptophyta; Magnoliopsida; Lamiales; Oleaceae
Description: long non-coding RNA (OEUR_LNC006134)
Source: RNAcentral
AGGGGUGAAGGGGCCACCUAAAGCCAGCCUUAAGGGUUUCCCUAAAAAUAAUGAACUCCUCUCGUCGAGCUCGAACAAUCCUAUCCUCGGGGCUAGGGAAUCUAACAUCACAAAUAGGCAUAGUACCAUAUUCCCUAGCCGCAGCAAUAGCUGAGUGCUCUUUUAGCCUACAGGGUUUAUCGAGAUACUCGAAGAUCAUAUUAACUUGAGCAUCGGGUGUAGCCUCUAGGAGAAUAGCCGUCGGAAUUAUCGACGUUCCUACGUCCUCGCUACUACUCGAACUACUGGAUAAAUCACGACCCUAACUACUCGACAUUACUCAAUGAACUUAAGACCUAGCUUAUGGAAUAACUUAGAGUCUCGAGCCUUACCUGGAGUUUCCCAAUGACUUGAGAAGUUUCCAAAGUAUUUUUCUCGAGCACGACCUCGCAGAAUUUAGAUUUACAGUGGGUAAAAGUGAAAAAUAAUGGUGAGAACAGCAGUAUUUAUAGGUGAAAACGACGGGAGGCCAAAUGUCGCCAUCUAUGGCUGUCCAUGAAGACACGUGUUACCAAUCCAAGCUCUAUCUCUGCAAUGGUCAUAUCAAUACCGACCUUUAUCGUCAACCUGUAUUUCUCGACGACGUUACCUAAAGUGAGGUGUUCAUAACUCAGGUUCACCCCAUCCCAGAGCUCGGUCUCUAGGAAAAGUGCACGGGGGCCAAUGAUGAUACCAAUAUUAUAUACCCGAGGACCAUUUCCUCGAGGACUCCAUACGUGCUCCGCCCACUUUUCUGCCAAAUGUCCUCGAGAUCUUUCUAGCCCUCGAGGUAUUUUGGUCCUCGAGGACUACGCAUACGAAUAUAAAAAUCACCCCCUAUGGUCCUCGGGACAUCGUCCAUUAACAGAUCUUCGAGACGUAUGUGCCUAAUAAACGGACACCUAAACACCCAAGAACUCUAUAUCAACUCUUACACCACUAGUCAAACAAUUCCAUUACGAGUAGGACAUUCCUCACAAACAGGACUCCAUUGGAUAAAUACAUCCAACUGGCACAAUCCUACUAGGAGUACACUACUUGCCUCUAUAAAUACAGAACAUUGAGCCAUUAUUCAGGUACGUUCUCAUUAUUCUCCUGUUUAUAGCGUCACGCACAUAUUUUCCUUUCUGACUUAAGCAUCGGAGGGGCGACAAGAACACAUCUCGUUGCCUUUGUUUCAGGUACCAGAAGGCUGCCAUCGUGCUUAUUCAGAGUCCUCAAGCUCGGGGAUCCAACAUGUACGAUUUUUGGUAGCAUCAUCAAGUUUUUUGUCCCAUUGGAUUUUCAUGAUAAAAUUUUUAAGGGGUACAUUUUUAUAGCAUAUUCAAAAGAAUAAUAUUUUUUUCAUUAGAUUUUAAUGAGGCAUAUUCUUUGUAUAAUAAAUGUCCAUGAUAUAAGAUACACUCAAAAUAAUACUCUAUAUGUAUGAGACCUCUGAAGAUAUCAUCAAGAGCUAUUUUUCAAAUCAUCGGGUUAAUACCAUCAUCAAAGAUCGAUAAAUAUCUUGUAUCAAGACGGUGCCAAUUGAAAACUAUACAAGAUAACACGAGACAUACUUCACCUGAGAUUACAAUAUUGAAUAUAUUGACGUAGAAGACAUGGAUGACUCGAUAUAAGAAUUUUUAUUUAUUGAAAUCAAGGGGAGCAACUGUACUCUUUUUCCUUCGAUCAGUUUUGUGUCAUUGAGUUUUCUUGACAAUGUUUUAACGAGGAAACAUUUUAUUACUUCAAAUUAUUUAGACUCUUUUUUGUUGGCAUUUUUGUCUCAUUGGAUUUUUGCCAAAUAAUGUUUAAAUGAGAUAAUUAUUGUGUAAAUAAUCAUUUAAGGAGGAGUGUAGUAAAUAUAAUAAUAUUUAUGAAUAACUUAUAUACCCUACAGUCCUAAUCAUUAUGAUUAUUGUAUUCUUUGUAACCCUAAUUAUUCUCUAUAAAUAUGAGACUUUGAUUUUUAAUAAAACAUACAAUUAUAUUGGAUUCUCUCUUUUGUUCUCUUUUUAUAACAAUAUAAAUAAAAUAUGAACUAUGACUAAAAAUGUCAAACAAGAAAUUAUAAAUUGAGAACUUGGCUAAUAUAUAUAUAUAUAUAUAUAUAUAUAUAUAAUAAACUCUCAAACAUCAAUUGCACUGUUUUAUGUUACUAGAAGUUAUCCCAAAUCGAACCCUCUUAUAAACGUCUAAAAUCAAGAUGUAUACAUGUGUAAAGUUGCCUAAGGGCUCAUAGAGUUGAAAUUGUUGGAUAUUUGAUACCCAAUAAUCCCGGACGAUGAAAUUAAACAGUGUCGGAUAGUCGGAUUAGAUUUCAUAGGCUUCGACCGAUGAUUGAAAUAUUUAUUAACACACUCGAUUAAUUGGCUCGACCCAAAAAACAACUUGAGGGUCGUUUGAAGCAACUUAAUAUAGUUAAUGUUGCUCACGACCCAUUUACUUCUUGGAUGGCUCAAUUUGUGUUCCGCCCCCUUUACCCAUUAGUUGGUCCAUGAGCCCAUUAUAUUAUUACACCCUAAACCUAUAUAUUGCUCCCAUUUGUUGAAAGAGCCAUGUGUUUUGCAAUUGAAAAGAGGAGCCGACAUUUUUCCCUAGUUUUCUCUCUUGAGCCUUAAAAACUGAAUCCGUCUUCCUCUAUUCUUGGUGAUUCAUUGCAGCCACCAUAUUGUGUUCUUUGUGAACACAUUGACUUGAGCAACUGAAGUAAGAAUCAUGAUUGUUUGGGUUGGAGCCAUUGUUGGGUGUGUUUAAUAAGAUAGAGAUUGGCGAAAUUAGGCCCGAAAAAUCCACCAUCGGAGGUCGAUUGUUCAACAUUUGUAUCAGAGUGAGGUUGGGGUGGAAUUUCCGGCCAAAAUCCAACCAAAAAAUAGGCAGAAAUCAAAAAAAUAAAACUGUCCAAAAAAUUUUCCCAAAAAUCGGAUCUGCAACUUCAAUUUUCGGCAAAUCCAGACGUCUUUUGGAGAAAUGGAGGCCGGAUUCGUGAUCUGCACGUGGAGGCGGUGCUGGGUGGCCGACGGCGAUGGCGGGGGCACGUGGCUUCUUCGGCGGCCCGUGGGCCCGAUUCUGGGGAAGGUGUCUUCAAAUAGUUUGUUCCUCAUAUUAUUUCUAACAUUUUUCGUGUUGAAAGUUUUCUGUUUCAGGUAACAUAGAAAAAGUUGGACGAUUUUGCCCCUGGAAAUCAAACUACAUUUCUUGGCGAGCUGCACGGUUAUAUUUUCUGAAUCUUUAGGACGAAUAGUGGUGGUCCUAAAGUAGCAGAUUCGCAUAUCUCUCGAUUAUAUGGACUCAGACACGUCCGCUCUGGUAAAUUGGCUUAACCCGUUAAUUUAAGCAUUAGUGUGUCACCGCGUGGGAUGACAAUAGGUUGGGGGUUGUCAUUGCUUGGCAUCCAUUGCUUGUGCUAGAAAUUAGGAUUACUUGCACUUAAUUGUUGCGAUUGAGUACUUAUUUUUGAAUAAAUUAGCGUAUUGUGCUUUGUGCUAAAAUUGUCGUGAAAUUUCAUUUGAUUGGAUAUACCUAUUUUGUUGCAUCGUAAAUUCCACUGUGUUGUUACUUUCGUUAGAAUACCUAGACCUUAUCCGUUCAAACGUUCCCUUGAUCUAAGACAGCGAGUCUUACGAAACCCUGGGAAUCUAGAACGGUGUAUAUUGCGACCGUAGGAUUACUUUGUGUGAUCUAUUUGCCUAAUUGAUUAUUUCGUUUUUCAAAAAUGUCUUCACAUUUCGAAGUUGGUAUUUUCAAUGGAAAGGGUGAUUUUUCAAUCUGGCAACAAAAAAUGGAGGGUAUUUUAGUCCAACAAAAAUCUGGCAACAAAAAAUGAAGGGUAUUUUAGUCUAACAAAAGGUUUCAAAAAUCAUUGAAGGCAAUUUUCCAGCUAAUUUUUCAAAAGAACAAAAAGAAGAAGCCGAUGAGCUUGCUUAUACCUCAAUCAUUUUACAUCUGUCUGAAGCUGUUUUGAGAAAAAUAGGAAAAUUGAAAACUACAAAAGAUCUUUGGAAAAGGUUGGAAGAUCUAUAUUUACUUAAAUCCACUCCAAUAAACUUUAUCUUCUUGAGCAUUUCUUCAGUUUUAAAAUGGAUCCUUCAAAGGAUCUUGAUGACAAUUUAGAUAUUUUCAAUAAACUUGUGCAAGAUAUUGUUAACUGUGAAGAAAUCAUAUCUGAAACUUACAAGACUAUAAUCUUGCUUAAUUCUAUGCCUGAGUCAUAUAAGGAAGUUAAAAAUGCCAUUAAAUAUGGUAGGAAUACAUUGACUCCCGAGAUUGUCGUAGACUCACUUAGGAGUAAGGAGAUGGAAAUGAAAGUUGAAAAUGAAGAUAAGAGGAGUGGUGAGUUACACAUGAUAAGGCGUGGGAUGAAGUUUAAGAAAAUGAAUUUGGGUAGAGUUCAAAAUAGCGGUGAUUCGAGUAGUGACUCGAGUGAUGAAGGUGGUAAGAUGAAGGGCAAGGGACGAGACAAGUCUGGUGGUAGACGAUGUUAUAUUUGUGGUAAGUCUGGACACUUUAUUAGGGAUUGUCCCAAGAAGAAGGAUAAGCAGAAGGGUUAUGUGAGGGGUGAGACGAAUGUGGUUGAGGGGUCGAGUUAUGACCCCAGUGAGGUUUAUUGAGAGAGUAAACCUAGUCACUGCAUAUGCAUCUGUGUGUGAUCCUUUCAGCAUGUGCGUGAUUGCCUAAUUUGUUGCAUGACUAUAUGUUGCAUUUCAAUUUGUUUGAUAUGUGUGUCUACAUGAAUUUUGAGGUAAUGUGAUUACUUGGUGUGAUCGUUUGCAUGCAUAGUGGGUUAGGAUGCAUUAGCAGUGUGUUAGAUGUCUUUUGGUAAGGUGAAGUAUAGAUGUCUAGGGGUACAUGGUGAUUUGUAGCGGGGAAUGUGGAGUGUGACAUUUGGAUCACGAGUGGAGAUGUGAUCAAAUGUGUAGAAAUCUUUUAUCUGUGAAAGAGACCCUGUACAGGUGGAGUGCGAGAGAGGCACUUCUAUCACUUCUAUAAGGUGGAGUCCCAUUAUCCACGUAAGUUAGGAGAAGUGAUGGUUAUAGAGGAUUAUUCCUGAACUUAGGAUCUACUGUGACUUGUCAUUUUGACAUGAGUUGUGUGAUCUAUUUAGUUAGCAUGGUGGGCGAUGAGAGGAGAUAUGUGUUCUCGAGGUGGGAGUAACACGAAAUGGGAUAGGAUAAGUGUGGUGAGAUCUUUCAUGAGGUCAUUUAUGCAUUUGUUGCAUAUGUGUUUGACCGUGUGCUGAUUAACUUGGUGUUAAUCUUUAAUUCUGUGUGAACGUGAAUUUGAAAAGAUCUGUGUGAUGUAUCCUAUAUAAUAUCUUUAUCGCAUGAUUAGUUGUUCACUGUAAGUACUUGUUUCUACCUGGGUGUUUUUUGGACUUUAGCCCCGAUGAGUACAUGGAUCAGGUAUGGUGUGUGUUUCGGUUCGAAACACGAGGUAAGGUCUGAGAUACCAAUUUUAUAGGAUUACCUUGAUUGUGUAAGUUUAAACUUUGUGUUUUGGUUAAUUUGCAGAUUAUUGGGCAUCAAAGUGGAGAUUGUUGGGUUUUUGAUAUCCAAUAAUCCCGGGCGAUGAUCUUAAACAAUGUCGGAUAGUCGGAUUAGAUUUCAUAGAUUUCGGUUGAUGAUUGAAAUAUUUAUUAACACAUUCGAUUAAUUGGCUCAACCCGAAAAACAACUUGAGGGUCGUUUGAAGCAACUUAAUAUAGUUAAUGUUGCUCACGACCCAUUUACUUCUUGGAUGGCUCAAUUUGUGUUCCGCCCCCUUUACCCAUUAGUUGGUCCAUGAGCCCAUUAUAUUAUUACACCCUAAACCUAUAUAUUGCUCUCAUUUGUUGAAAGAGCCGUGUGUUUUGCAAUUGAAAAGAGGAGCCGACAUUUUUCCCUAGUUUUCUCUCUUGAGCCUUAAAAACUGAAUCCGUCUUCCUCUAUUCUUGGUGAUUCAUUGCAGCCACCAUAUUGUGUUCUUUGUGAACACAUUGACUUGAGCAACCGAAGUAAGAAUCAUGAUUGUUUGGAUUGGAGCCAUUGUUGGGUAUGUUUAAUAAGAUAGAAAUUGGUGAAACUGAGCUCGAAAAAUCCACCAUUGAAGGUUGAUUCUCCAACAGAAAGUUCUGAAAGAAAUUCUUCAUUUAUUUGAUUAAGUAAUUCAUUGGAUGUGUUAGCGUGGUCCUACCAAGAUAUGCCUAGAAUUGAUCUUAAAAUCAUGCAACAAAUGAUUUCCACUUGUCCAAAUGCUAAGCCAUGAGGCAGAACGAGACGGAGAUGGAUUAGAUUGAUCCCAUGAAUUCCAGUUGAUAAAUUGCCUGUGAUGUAGGGAACAUAACGCACUCCUAGACUUGCAUACUGUCUUUUUGGAUUCGAGCUAACAAACCUGUCUUCAUCAAUUCCAAAUGGAAUUCAAGGAUUGUUUGAGCCGCGUUCUCUUCACAAAAAUACAUUUUGUAAUAUAUUAUGAUGGAGAAUGUGUGGUUGAAAAAUAAAGAAAAAUUUUAAAUUUACGUGUGAUAUUAUUUUAUUGAAAAAUGUGUGAUUGAAAUAAGGUCAAAUCACUAUUUAAAAAUACAUUUUGAUAGAAAAAUGGGGCUCGAUUCAAACCCCUUCCUAGAUCAGCAUAAUUCCACAUGUUUCAUGCGAUCCAAUACUAUUCCUCCUAAAAAGUUAGAAAUUUUUUUAUUUUUUUUUAGACGAAUGGAGCUGCCAAGUUCACUCGUAAAUAAGUAAACAAACAAAUGUUGUUUAUCCAUCAACACUUAAAAAUCUGGGUGAUUGUCUAGCUCUGAAGAAGAAUUACAUGAUGACGCUCUUCACGAAAAUAAAAAAUAAUGGAACCAUCUGAACUUGUCAAAAACGUAACAUAUUACACUGACAACUCUGAAAGGAGAGUUGCCCUUAAAUGCAUAGAUAAAAUUACUCUUCUUGGAACUUAUGGUGUGUGGAAGGAACACGAACAGAGGAAAAAACUCGAGAGAAACUAUUUACUUGCUGCAAGAGCCUCCAACUCUGUUUGACUGACUGAAAUAUGGGAAAGCUCCAAUUUGAUAGACUCAAAAUCUGUGCUCUCUCUUUCUUCCUUUGACAACCAUGUCGAUAAAUAUUGCUUUAUGAACUCACUGGCAGACGUGAAAGUUGAAAUGCCCCUUGAAACCUUCGUCUGUCCAAAUCUCGUAAUAAGUUUCAAAUUUGAGUCAGUGGGAUCUUUGACAUAAGUUUCUAGGAUUUCUUUGAUGGCAUUGCACCAGAUUGGCCGAGCCACCUUAAGGAACUCGUGCACCACCAUCACUGGAAGACUCACACUUCCCAUCUCGGAUUCGUGCUGACCACUUCUCCCAUGAUAGUCCGAUCCUCCAAGUUUCAAAAGAUUUUGUGCAUCAGCCAAAUCACUGUAUACUAUAUUGAAACAAAGGGUGAAUUAAAAUAUCAACAUAAAACCUUACAAACUAGAAUUAAAACAUACAUUUGUAGUUCCUUCGCAGUUGAUCUAAAUAACAACCAAGAAGAAAUCAUUUUUCAAAAACUCUCAUAUACAGCUAAUCAGAAUAUGACCCGUGCAGCCAUAUCUGCAGCAGGUUGUCAUUUGAAAAUCAUUCCUAUUUCUUUUUGGAAGGGCGGGGACGGGGGUAUAUAAUUCUAGAAUCUCUAGUUGGAAAGUCAACUAGUCCUCUGGUGAUGGUACUUAGUACCAUUAACUAGUACAACAUUUCGCCGAUAACUUCAAUAUUAAAAUCUGUUAAGCUCAAAAAAAUUAAAAAAUUAAAAAAAUCAUAAACGUUUUGGGUGAAUUACAUGAGAGUAGAACUAUAUAUAAAACGUACGUACCUUCGAGUUUUCCAUCGUUUCGGUAAGCCUCUAUCCCAUGUAGUCCUGCUUCUUUCAGUCUUCUGAUGAUGGUGGCAGGAUUCUUCAGUGCCCAUGGAUGUGCCAGCACUGCAAUACCUCCCGUUUCACGUAUCAAUUCCACAGCCUCCUCAGACACUGGCUCACUUCCCCUGCACCAAAGAACAUGCAAAACUUCUACAUUGGACUAUUUGAAAACAUAAAAACCAGCAAACAAAUAAAGCCAAGUUGACGAUGUCAAAAAUAUUACAUAGAAUAUGCAGGUCCACCAUCAUAAAGAUACUGAGUAAAAGCCUGUUUUAGAUUUUCUACAUGGCCAGCUUCUAGCAGAGCACGAGCAAGAUGGAGCCUCCCAGGAGCAACACCCUUUCCUGCAAUCUUGAUUAGAUUUUCCCAUUUAAGAGGCAUCUUGAGCUUGUUCAGUUUUGAGAUCAUGUUUUUCGCACGGAUGAAGCGUCCAUCCCUAAUAUUACCUAAGAACUUCUCGAAUUCCUCAGAUUUUUUUGGCCCCCAACUGCUGUAAUAUGCGAGAAUGUGAACAGGUUCUUUUGGUCCCGACUCUCCUCUGCAAGUCAUUUUACAAAAUAAAUACAUAGUACAAGAAAUAAUUGCAACGUUCUAGAUAAUCACUACCAUGAUAGUAAACAUUAAGCAAAUGAAUACACAGGAAAACAAUAACCUUGUGGAGAACAUUGUACUAAUUUCAACACCAGGUAUAAUCUUGAUGCCAAAUCUGCGUGCUGCUUCCAGGGCUUCAGGGAUUCCAGACAUCGUGUCGUGAUCCGUUAAAGCAAGCACUUUGACCUGUUAUGGACAGACUUACAAAUUAAUAGCACAACUAAUUAUGAUCUAAAAAGGAUUAUUCUAAGAAAAUAAUUUGUCCUCAAAGAUAAAAUUACACUGUUCUUGAUAGAAACCAAAAAAUAAAAGAACAACAAACAAUGUUGGAGGAUAGAUUAUCUACAUAAUCACGAUACAACCUGAGCAAACAGCAUUAAACAUAAAGGAUAGAUCUCCAACAACACAUGAUAUAUCAAAUAAUCACAAGAAAUAGAAUUAUAGAACAUCUUCUCUCAGAUUUUUAUGUCACACACAAAAUCAAAUUAGAUUUAUAUGUUAUACAGAUGGUAAAUCUUUAAUUUACUCUCUCUCUCUCUCUCUCUCUCUCUCUCUCUCACACACACACACACACACACACAUUCAUGCGAUUAUAAAGCUUCCUUGUUCACAGAAAUUCCUCUGCAUAUGUUUUAGAAUUCAUUUUUAUAGAUGAAGGCAAAGUUCCUCUUGGAUUUCAAUAUUGUUCAAUAAGCUGUAGUUAUUUUACAAUUUCCUUAUUGAUUUAUUUGAUUGUUCCAGAAGGUUGCAGGACCAACACCAAGAAGUCAUUAUUUAAAGCGAAAGGAAAUAACUACAGAACACCCUCUAUCGCGAACUCCUACCCACCCCCUUACUACCAUUCCUUCAAAGAGAAAAGGAAAAAGAACCUCUUUUUGGAGGCGUGCACACACAAAUAAAAACAAAGCCACUCAAUGAACACCAACAAAUACAUACUCUUGGAAUGUGAUCGUAUCGAAUUUCAGAAAGGACAUCUGACUUUGCGAUGACAAGAAUAGUUUUUGCUUACAUGUAAACUAAUAUACAUUGACCUGCUUUUAUUUCCAUUCUUCUAGCCUUUCUGGUAGUAACUUCACAAUUAAUGCCAGUAAGGCCAUUUGGUAGGCCUAAACAGGUUAUUAUCUAUUAACAUUUUUCUUCUUGCAAUAUUUUGCACAUUUAGAAUAAAUGAUCAGGAAGAAUUGUAAAAGAAUGCAAAAUGCUACCAAAUGCAUUGAUGGCAUAGAAGAUCUGCAGAGACGAGACAUCUAUAAGACAAACAAUUUGUGUCUCGUGCUUCUAUGACAGCAAUCAACAUGAAAUUUGAUGAUUAAGUUGAAAAGCUGGCAUAUGGAUAAGGAAAAGAUGAUAUAAGUUUUACAACCUAACUCUGUCUCCUUCCCCUUCACAGUGAAAAAUUGAGCCAAAAUAAAAUACCCCAAGGAGUGUCAUAAACCUACAAAAAUGAUCCUUCUUGAUAAUUCUGAAAUGUUCUAUCCAAUUCAUACAACACAGUUCUCAAAUUGUCACCUACAUUAUCGUGUUCUGCACUUGACGACAUUUAAACUACAAGAUCAGAAUGCUCCGGUUUUGACUAAUGUGUGGAGACCAGAGACUUCAAAACUUAAUUCCAAUACUAAAUUGAGCCCAAAGGAAUCAUUGAUAGUCUAUGCACUGUCCGAUUUCCAUCGACUUAUGUACUCAACUGACUCCAAAGUUGAAGAGCUUAUAUAUAAAGUUAUAAACAUACCUAGGAUUGUAGAAUUUUUGCCUUAAAAUUCGUCACAAUUCAAUCAUCUACCCAACUUUUCCAAAAGAAGAAGCAAAAGGGUGAACUUUGAUAAUCAGAACACAAUUCAAUCAGAAUGAAAUUUAACAAUAUGGGGAAAAUAUCAGAUACUUGAUCCAAAAAAUCAUCAAAUCCUUUCGUUUAUAAUUGAAACACCAAUUGCAUAUGAACAGGGUGAAAAUAGAAAUAGCACAUUCAAAUGUAUAACAAAACCAAUUCAAAGGAAAAUUCAUCUUCCGUAACUACAAAAAAUGAAGAACACCCCCCACCCCCAAAAUAAUAAUAAUAAUUGGAAAAUGAAAGAAAAGCUCACCCCAUUUUGAUGAGCUCUCUCCACAAGCUUGGAAGGAGACAAGAAUCCAUCACUGCAUGUUGAGUGACAGUGAAAUUCAAAGACAAGUUUUUCUUUUGGCUGGUACCAUUGCACCCCAAAGUCAUCCAAAACCGAAUCAAAAAGACACAUUGAAUUAAAGCUAUUAUCAUUAGACCGGUCCAAGAAAACCCAUUCCCGGACUGAUUUGUAUGCCACUGUUUGUUCAAGGGUCAUUUUCCUCUUGGCACCGCCUCUCUUCUUUUUCUUCUUUUUCUUAGAAUUAUUAUUGCUGUUAUUAACAAUUGGCUUUUUCGAGCUUUCUUUAUCAGCCAUCAUUUGAUUUUGAGAGAAAAAGGAAAUAAAUGAUAAUGACGAAGCAGGAGAAAAAUAAUGAAGAAGAAGAAGAAGAAAGGAGGAGGGAAUCGUUGGGUUUUAUUGAACAAUUGAGGUCAAGCGGUAGGAUCUGUGUAGGGUAUAUAUCUAUUUGUUUUCGAAUAUAGUACUUUGUUCUCUAUCUUUUCUCGUUAAAAUAAAAAAAAUAUUAUCGUUAUUCAUAACAUUGAGUCAUCAAAUUAAAAUUUUUAUAUUUUGUAUGGGACUCAUAAUAAUUAUAUUUUUCAUUUUCAUUUUUAAAAAAAUGAGAAACAAACAAUAGUCAUAGAAAUUGGAGAAGAUAUCUUUACAUGGUUUCUCUGAAUGGAACACUCUCAGGGAAAUUUUCUUUUCUUUUUUUUCUUUUCUAUUUAACAUGAAAAUAAUGCAUAGAUUCCUUAUCAAACAAAAAAUAGAGAGAGAGAGAGAGAGAGAAAUUAAGAUUCUUGAUUGUACUUGUGGUUUCAAAAUGGACCUACUAACUUGGAACUUGUUUGCAUAGAUAUUUGAAAAUUAUUUUUUUUUAAACUUAUUUUUAAUCAUAUAUGUUCACAGUUUAAUAAUUGAACACGCGAACAUAUAAUUUUUCAUUACUAUUUAACACACCUUCUCUAGAAUUAUUUUUCCACUUCAAAUGAAUAAAAAUUGAAAUUGAGAUUUGCCAUCCUACAAGGUCAAAAUAAAUCUGAUUAGGCACUAAACGAAACUAAAACACGGUAUAAGGCUAGCCCUAAUAGUUGAUUAUUGGGCCCGAUCAUCCUAUCAAUUAGUUAUAUGUGUUUGUUUGGUAAGGAUUUUGAUAAUUGAUUUUUUGACCAUUAGAGAUAAAUUGGAUCCUACCUGUGAGAGAAAAAAUCAAAAAUAACGAUUGAAAUAGUGAAAUAACAGUCAAAAAUUGAUUUUAAUUAACUUUUAAAUUGUACCAAAUAAGUUGAACAAUUUUCAACUACAAGAAUAAAGUGUACACUAUUGUUUAUAAAUAUAUUGAUUUUCAUUUUCCCUCCAUUAUUACUUUUCUUGUACACAACCUUUUAAUCCUUUGGGUAAUUUAACUUUUGUUAGGCGGUUCUCUUCUAAAGCCUGUCUCCCACUAAAACAGGACGUUGCCAGUCCCCUGAACCUGAUCCAUUCCUCCCACUCCUCUUUUUCACAAUUUAAUUUUCAGAUACGACGUGACGUUAUCAAUCUUCUUUUACUCAAAAUAAAGUCUUAGAAACAAUAUGAAAAUUUAACAAGAAUUAAAAGUUUUUUUGUCAGGAAAAAAUGUCAUCCUUAUUGACUAAUACCCACAUGAGGCUCAAAAAAAGGUCAAAUAAUUGCUGCUGCCUAUCGUGAGAGGGCUGUCAGAGAAGGUGUCAAACCCUCAAAGCAAAGCAGGAUUGAUUUAACAAUAUCAUGACUGAAUUCUGUCUAUGGUGAUCAGGAAAUAUAUACUUACAUGUUCUUUGUCGCUUGAAUUAAUGCAUAUGCAAAAAUAUUUGAAGCUAUUAUAUCAUGUAAUGACGAUCAAAAAUCUAUAACAAAUAUUUAGCUCGAGAUUAAUGCACUGUCUCCUCCAUCAUUUAGUAAUUACUAGUUAUAAACUUAUGUUUGGAGAGGAGAUAUUUCUUAUACUAUUUCAACGACCAAUGAGAUGGUACAUUAGGCAACUAGGGCUAAUUGUUCAAGCGGCACAACCCAUUGUUUUCCACGGCUUUUUGAUUAUUUGGAUUAAAAUCUUCAUUAUUUUUCGGUAUUUAAAAAAAAUGAAAAAGAAAAUUUGGUUGGAGAGCUGAAUGACAGAUGGUCUAAUCAGAUGUAGAGUGCAGAGGCCCUCAGGCCCCCUUGCCAUAGAAAUGUUAUAGCUGAUUUUACUGAGACAGCAUCUUUCCACCUGUACACCCAACAUUUUCCAAGAUGCAUACAGUGCAUUUGUACAUAACUUUAACUGUCUAUAACCACCGACCAAACAGCUCCAAUUCAAUUCGAUUAAUGGGUUAGGUUGGCCCGCCAAAUACGGACUAGGCUCGCCCACUCUGAUUGUUUCCCUUUCCUAUUCAAGAAAAUAUAUUUUUUCUACUUAUCUUGUACAUUUUCCUUCUAUUUUAACCCUACGAGUGUCCAUUAGGUGUGGGGGAAAGGUGGUUCCACCAGGAUAUCUACUAGGAUCAUUUGUUUUACAGCAAAAAAAUAAAAAAUAGUAAAAGAAAAGGAACCAGAAAUACAAUUUUUAUAUUUGUGCUGAAUAAGAAUUUAUGCAAUUUUACAAUAUAAAAUAAAGGAAAAGAAAGCAAAUUUUAUUUAAUACUGAAAGCGGUAAAAGAUGGAUAAAUAUUACAUAACUGACUGCGAAAAACAAAACUUUUAGAAAUUAUUAUGGUUCAGUGUAGUUGUGACUGGUUGAAGGAAUUUCGCCGUGCUGUAGCCAGAACGGUCUUGUCAGCCACAAUGAAAUAUGCCAUUCCAGCCACUGUUAUUUAAAUCAAAAUAAAUAUUACUUACUGUAAAUUAAAACUGAACAAGUUUCAAUGUAAAAAAGUAACCUGUGGAAACGAUGAGAGCUUGAGCGGUGGGAUUGAGAUUGGCUCUCACCCAAGGCACCAUUCUUGCACUUGCCAACUUUUUUAACACAUAUAAAAGUAGGGUUUAUAAUAAGUUCAAAUUAAUUAAACAUGUAACAAAGCCUAUUAUUAUUAAUUUAAUUGAUGUUAUGUACCGUCGGAAUCGCAGUAGCAAUGGAAGCCAUGACAGCUGCUUUGGCUCCCGCCAUUACACCUUCUGCAAAUACAAUUAAAUAUGUUUAUUAAACUGUUCGUUUAGUAUUGUACGAAGAAACAAAGAUAAUGAUGUUAUGUACCAUGAGAACAACGUUUGGCAAUGGCUAGCUUUCGAUCGAGGGAAGCCAAACUGGUUAUUUCAGUAGCAUUCUUGGCCAUUGUGUUGUGGUUUGGUUAAUUGGUUGGUAUAUAGUUACUUAGGGAGAUGUUAGUGGAGUUUAUUGAUUUAGUUAGGUAUAUAUUUAUAGAAAGCAGUCAAUGUUUAAAUUGAUAGCAGCCCCCUGAAUCUUGAUCCAUUUCAGUACAACAUUUGAUGGUUUCAUUGUCAUUUCUAAGGUCGGAUUCGGAUUAACAUUUUAUGGUCGGUUGCCAACUUAAAAUUUCAACAUAACCCUUCUGUCUCAUAUACAUGCCAUGGACAUUCGUAAUUUGUUUUGAAUUAAGUCCCUGUUUGGUAGCAAUUCAUCUAAAAAAAUUAAUUUUUUGAUCGUUAUUUUAUAAUUUCAGUCGUCAUUUUUGACUUCUUUACUUACUGAUGGGACUCACUUUUCUCUCCAACGAUCAAAAAUCAACUCUUAUAAUCACUAUCGAACAUGCCCUAAAAAUUUAUUUUCAAGAGCGAUUUUGAAGUGUCGUGUCACAAUUUCUCAUUUCUAUAUCUGAUCAUCUAUCCGUUCUCAUGUUUGGUUCAGCUCAAUAUGAUUUCCAUCAAAACCAGGAGGCAUAAUGUAACAUGGUUGGCACUUGAGGUGCGUACAGAUCCAAAUAAAAGUUUCUCUUUAUCAUCAAUGAAUUCAUAAAAAUGUGAUUUUCCCCAAUUAUAAAAUAAUUUCCCGGAUUUUAUUGCAUCUUUUCAUCCACUGCCACUGGUUUGGUGUCCAAAACCAUGGGAAGAAUUCGCCUGGAUCUGGACCCAACAACACUUAAAAGUCCAUCGGAUUUCAACGUAUGUCAACAAAAAAACACAGAUGUAUUUCUGUGUACUGUAUAUGGAAAGGAUGGAUACCAAAAUAAUUGAAAUCCAGACUUUGACAUUUUUUUUUUUAAUAUAUCCAAGUAUCCCAUCUUACACUAGACUAAAUCCUGGAUCUCCAAAAUCCAUGCCCCUAGAACCUUGGAGGAGGUAAAUCGCGGGUUAUGCCUCAACUGGAUCACAGGUUCCCCCUAUUGACUGUACACUUCUGCGCACAAGAGACCCUCCUCCACAGUAAUUGCUCCAUACCAAAUUUUUGGCCGCAGGUUCCCACCAAGAAUCGAAUUCUCCACCCUGCCGCUAGAAGCAAGUCAAUGUUGAUUGAUCCACCAGUUGAACUGUGCCCCGGGGCUCCAGACUUUGACAUUUUCCAUUUGACAUAUGGAUACCAAAGCUUCAAUUUAAUCUUACCUUUACAAAUUAGCAAAGAUUUAUUUGAAGGGAUCUAUCUACUCUUUUGAAACAAAAUCAUUGCUCUUAGUUCUAAAAACCCACUUGAGUGUAUGUUCAGUAUAAUGUACAAGCUAUUAUUGUGUUCUGUAUUUGUCCAACACAACAUCCCGAACACCAAUGACUAUUCCCUAAUUGAGAAGCAAUGCUUUUUAUCCCUUGAACUAAAAUAGAUACGUAAAACUUCACAUCUCUACUCAAUUUCUAUAUAUAAAUAGUGAUGACAACGGUGCGGGUGUCCAGCCGCCGCCCCGUCUAACUUCACAUCUCUACUCAUUUUCUAUAUACAAAUAGUGAUGGCAACAGAGCGGGUGCCCUGCCCAGCCCCGCCUUGCCUUAGACGGGGUGGCGGCUUGCCACAUUUAUUUUUUCAUAUUUUUUAUUAUUUUUACUAUUAUUUUUUUAAUUUUUUCUCUUCACGGGGCUGAGCAUCCCCCGCCUCGCCAACCCAUCGAGAUGGGGCAAAUUGCCAUCCCUGUAUGCAAAAGGUUCCAAUACUUAGCAACAUGGACUUGUCAAUGAAAUACUUUUCUCAACCAUAAAGUAUUAUUCCAUAUGUACCGAAUGGUGUCCCCCUUUCACAAUGCAUGCGGGCUCCACGUGACUUUAAAAAUGCCGAUAUAUGAUCUUCACUCCUGUUGUGAGUAGUAAGUAAAAAAUUUGAUAAAAAAAUUUAAUAUGUGUAGCAUUGUCCUAAAGUAAAAUCUACAUUCUCAAAAAAAAAAAAAAAAAAAAAGUUAAUAAAAAAAAAAAAAAAAAAAAAAAAAAAAAAGUAUUGCAACUGGAAAAAAUGAGUGCAACUUUUAGGAAAUAAGCACAAAAAGGUUCACACAUUUAUUAAAAUUUAUUUGAUGAACGAACUCCCUCAAUAAGAAACUUUCAAAGCUUGGCUGCUAGUACCGCUAACUAAUAAAUGAGAUUGAAUGUGUAACAAACGUGCCAUCAGUUUAGAUGUAAUUUUCCAUAGUACAAGUUUGGUAGAAACUGUGAAAUGUAGACAUCACAAUAACAAAAAAAUCUGAACUCUCCAGAGUUAUCAGAAAACAAAGUUGAAAAAUGCCACAAACAACGUGUCAGUAUCAAAGGUAGAAAGCAAUUCAAACUUAAUUUUUAUUUACCACCAAGAUCAAAUAUUAGCAAGUAAUAAAACCUAAACAUUUCAAUCUGACAACUAAUAGUGAAGGUGCUUAUCAGGAAAUUUGCUUUUAUGUUUUGUGGAGUUCUUGAAAUCUACAUUAUGUAGUUCGGAAACAAAACUUGGCAAAUGGUUAAAACUUAAAAGAAAGGUUCUAUAAGCAAGACGUGGCAAGGUGACAGGAUCAAGCCUCAAGAAGUUUUCUUAUUUUUAAUAUUAUUUCAAUCAUUCUAAGAUUAAUAACAAUAAUAAUAAUUCAUUUUACUUAAUUAGUUUAUUUAACUAAGAAAAGAAAAAAGGAAAUAAGGCGCAUAAGACCUGCAUUAGCCUACCCUUUUGGUGCUUAGAUCCUUAUUAUAGGUGGUCGAAAAAGGGUUAACUACCAUUUUCACACCUUUUCCAUAUGCAGGUCGCCUUUUCACGCCACAUGCAUAGCAGCAUAGGCCCUGCCUUUUAGAAAACUAGUUGAGAGAUAACCUCCAAGAAUAACUUGAUUUAAAAACUUCUAGUUUUUAAUGUAUAAUCAGGCCUCCAUUCCAAGCUUUAGACUGUUCAUGCUUGGCUUGAUAUCAUAGAAGAGCAAAAAAAUUGUUCAUUUUGAAGCUAUGUCUAACCAAACUACUGUCUUUGUGUGCCUAAAUUAAAACCCAACUUGGUUGAUUUACAUUACACUUACAACUAAACAAGCCGGGCUCGACUAGAAUCCAAAAAAUUUUAGAAGCUAAAAAGUAUGCAUUGUCUCUCCCAAGUCUCUAUACAAUAUUCAACAAGAUAUAGAGAAAGUGAGCACAAAUUGAUACAUAGCUGCUUGAGCCUAUAUACAACUGUAGACACUUCAGGAUAACAUAAUAGGUGUUUCCCCCUUACAUGAUUUCAAUGACCGACUGUAUCUCAUGACACUGGAUACUAUCAAAUUCCCAUUAAUUUAUCUACAUGUCUUCAUCUGAUAUAUUUACCUCUAGAUAUCAACAUAGGACACAUACCCUAACCAAUAGGUUUCUCAUUUUCAUUGUUGACAAAGAAGAAAACAUUGGUCAUCUGCAUAAAUUGUGUUUCAAGUUUAGAAACUGAAUGAAUGCCCACGUGCGGUUUCAACUAUAUACUAAAUUUAACUUCAUCAGAACACAGCAUCACUAUUCGGCAAUCAUUUACAUCAGAAUCUCCCCAUUUUUGCCCCCAUUUCAGAGCAGACAUCAGAUACAAUUUGCCUAUUUUUACACGUACAUGCUGCAAACAGCAUUGCUGUCUCUUUUCACUGUGCAAUGUCAGCUAUUCCAAUUCAUAUUCCCCAUAGAGAAAGCACAAGAUUUGCAACUUAAUCAUCUUCUUUAAGCCCCCGUUUGGCCCCCGUUUCCUGAAAAUGAAAAUUGGUGGAAUAGUAUUUUUUUUGAAAAAUGAGUGAUUGAAAAAGAAUGAAAAGUUUUUGAUUUAUGUAUAAUAUUAUUUUAUGAAAGAUUGUGUGGUUGAAAGUAGGAGAAAGAAAAAUGAAAUGUAAUAUAAUUGAAUUUAAUGGGGGCCAGACGGGAGCUAAAACUCACCAAUCCCACCCACUUCCCAAAAAACUCAAUUUAACUGAAGUCAACUCAAUAAAGCUUCUUCUCACGCUUGAUUGGAUGAGUGACAAGGAUCUGCUGUCAGAACCACUUCUAUAACCUAAUCAAAGGCUCUAACCCCUUUUCAAUUAUCAAAGUUCACGUAUUUUUUUUAUAAAAAAUCUUCUCUAUACUAGCCCCGUUGUUUCUCCUGAUAAGUGCAUCUAAAUGCCUCAGUGACUGUACAAACUGUCUUAAUAAGUUCUCCAUCAAACAUUUGCCAAUUACAUACCAUGAUACGUAAAAGCUACAUUCGUUUUUAACAGUGUUAAUUCUAUAGAGCGUUCAAGAGGCUUAGGCUACCACAUUAGUCAACUACCCAUAGGAACCAAUCAAACCAAAUCAUAUCUUUUGAUCUAGAAGUACUGAUGUGCAAAAUUUGAGAUAUCACCAGUUCGGCAUGCUCCUAUGAUGUUACAUAAAAUCCAGUCCUCCCAUUGUUGUUCCACCCAUUCAUCAACAGUGAGAGCAAGACUUACAAUCUCUAGCUAUUUCCGUGUCAACAACAGCAAAAGAAAAGCAAACCAACCAGUAGAAAAACAUAAAUGGUGUGCUAACAAUCAGGUUAUCUAGGUAGGCAUCAAAUUUAGUUAAAUAAAUGUUCUAGAAAAAGAAGCUAAAUAAGUAACAAUAAUGCAGUUACAAUAUAGUGAUGAACGUUUGCAUGGGCAAGAAAAGGCAUAAUGAUGGGAUGGCUAACUUAAGUUCUUUAUAUGGCAGUUCAGCACUUCGCUUUUAAGUUCAUCACAUAUCUUAAAUGACAUAUACAUAACUCUUAUAGCACAACCAUAAAAGGAGGAAUACAUGCAACAUGCACAUUUCCUCUUCUAUCAACUGGUAAAAAUAGCAGUAAUAACCUAAUACUCCCUCUAUCACACAUAGACAGUAUGGGCUUCAAUAUUUAUCUAUUCCGAAAUACACGUCCUAGUAUUGAUUCAUCUAUUUUCACACCACCAUCUUAGUUGAAUAUAUCCGAGAAAAAUGUAACAGGGCGGAGAAUCAUUCACUAUAACCUCAUCCAUUUUUCUAUAUCAAUUAGCUAGCUUCCAGGGUCUGACUGAUACACAAGUAGUAGAGAUCAUUACUCUGAUGUUCUAAAUUUAGAACCACUCAAGCCUAUAAUUCAUUGCCACAGACAAAAGUUUUGAAGUUUAAUUGAAUAUUUGACUCAGAACCUAAGUAGAGUCAGCAUAUAAUUCAAUAAGAUAUUUCUAAGAUAUUUCAAAUUAGACAGCGUACACUUAUGCCAACAAAUACGUGAAAAGAUUUUCUUAACAAAUAAAGAAGCAUAAGACGAGUUGUACUUGAUCUCUUAUAGCAGAAGUCUUAAGCAAUAUGAAUAAACCUACAACAAUAUAGCUGCAAAUAAUCACUAACGAGACCUAAAUCAAUGCCAAGCAGUGUUAACACUUUGAACGCCUGUAAAACCCAAUUAAGUUUCAAUUACAGAGAAGUUGGAUACACAAAUAAUUUUCUUCACAUGUUAGUUCAGCAAUGUAUUAAAGAAUAUGUAGAGAUAGUCAAUUAAGAACCAAAAGGAAAUGAUUUUAAGCAUAGGUAUAUACAAAGAGUUAACAACAAAUUAGCAUCUACUAAAAGCAUUGACAAGACAAGGAAAUUCGAAAUUGAAAAUUAUAAUCUUACACAGGUUUUUACUCCUGGGAAUUGUAACAUCUAUCACUUCAAUCUAACAUACUCAUGGUAAUAAAUACAUAUGAUACACUCAAAUGAGCAUUUAAAAACUAAGGUAAAUAGAAAAAACAUACAUUUUCACAAAAAUCAAAGUCGAUGACAGGUUUAAAAGAUGCCUUCUACUAUUAUAAUCACUUGGAAACCAAAAGGAUCUCAGGCUUCUUAGCCUUACUUGGUGUAUUUGCAUUGGACCCAGGGGCACUGGCUGUUGCUGAUGCUGAUGCUGAUGCUGCUGCGGCCUUCACUGCAUCACGCUCCCUAUUGUCCAGCUGAAUUAAACUCCUGGUAGCCAAAAUUGCCUGCGGAACCAGAUCAUGUGAAGCUCUAGCAUACAGAUGCCGCAAUGCCACUGAUGCUGCAUCCUUCAUCUCCAUUACAUUCAGAGGACCCAACAAACAGUGGCCCAAAAUUCUCAAAACUGGCUGCAGCAACUCCCAGGGAAGCGGAAUUCUACCAUCCGGCCUUGCAUCCUUGCAAUUAUCAUCCUCAAUAUCCAAAUCCGUAACCCUUGCCACCACGUUUUCAAUCUCAUUGAAAUUGACCCUCUGAUCUUUCUCAAACCCAUCAUUGUUCUCAAACCCGUGAUUAUUUUCCACAACAUUUUCAGGUUUUUUGUCAAAAUCUGACGUACAUGGGCAAUCCUGACCGGCCCAUUCAGCUGUGAAUUUACAAAAAUCAAGCUUUGACCAAAUGGGCAUCUGCGAGAUCUGCUUAUAAUAACAAUCCAGAGCAACCCCAACAAUGCAGGCACGUUUAGUUGAUUUCACUGCGAUCUGUGGUUCUAAAGGCGGCGAUAAAACCCCAACCAAAGGCUUAACCUGAGAAUUGGCGGAAUUAGGGUUCGAUUUAACGGGAUUCCGAGGGGGGUGAUAGAGUGAAGGUUGAGAGAGAUCCGGGAUUGAAAUAGUUACAGGUUUGCCAUUUCGUGAUUUGGUUUCGGAGGAAUAGAGGGCCAAGAGCACAGCUUCAAAACCGGCCAGAGAUACGGCGGUUGAAGAGGAGGGAUGGUGAAUGCGGUGAAGGUAUAGGGACGUAAGAAGGGGGAGAAAGGAGAGAACGACAAGACGGAGGUCUGGAUCGGAAGAAAGGAAAGUAUCAUAUAGCCACUGGCAGAGGGGGUCAGCGCCGGAGCCGGAGGAAGGGGAGGAAAGGGCGGCAGAAAAGGAGAAGUAGGCGGCAGAUGAGAGGAGGAGGGAGCGGGCAGGGCGAUCGGUGUCAGCGAGAGAUGAGAGGGAGAGAGAAGACUCUUCAUCAGUGGGGAGGAGAGAUGAUAGGAUGUGGAUGCGGGAACGGGCUUUGGAAAUGGUUUCCCACCAUGAGUGCAUGGAGUCGGAGGUGGGAGAGGGGGAGGAGUAGAGAUGUCCAUUUUGGUGGUGAGGGGUGGAAGAGUUAGGGUGGUGGUGGUCGGAGGAGGAAGUGGAGGAGCAAGGAGAGCCACGGGGGAGGUUAAAGUCCAUGGCAGCGGCGUAACGGUGGAGCGAAGAGAUUAAUGGAGGCUCCUCCUCUCCGUUGGAAGGAAGAACCGUGCUUCACUUCCAAGGCCACGAGGAGAUUAAGAGGAAACGAGCAUCUAGGUGUGAGAUGGCCAGAAAUUUUAUAUCGUAUCAAAUUCAGAGAUUCGAAAUUCAAAAUACCCCUAACGAUUGAAGUAUCAGAAGAUAAAAACGUAACAAUGUUACCAUCCUCCCUUGUUUGACAUUGUGCCAAAAAUACUUUUUUUUUUUUCCCUAUUUUUUCAUUCACGUAUAUUUUAAUAAAAUAAUAUUACGAAUGACGAUGCCAGUAUUGAUACACCCCGAGGAAUACAUCCCGAGGACUCCAUAUAUACCCCAUAUCAUCUCUCUGCCAUGGUCCUCGGGGUCUCCCUAAGACCUCGAGGUAUUAUUAUCCCCGAGAUUCCUCGAGGACAUAUUAACAUCCUCUCAAAUCCUCGAGAAUAGUCCUCGGGACAUAUACCACCAACAUACCUCCUAAUACCUGGGUAUCUAACAAACAAACCUGAUGCUACCAAAAAUCGUACCUGUAGAUUUUCCGAUACCUGAAACAAAGGCAACGAGGUGUGUUCUCGUCGCCCCUCCGAUGCUUAAGUCAGAAAGGGAGAUAUAUGCGUGAGGCUAUGUGCUGAAGAACAAUGUAAAAACGUACCUGAAUAAUGGCCCAAGGCUCUGCUUUUAUAGGAGUAGGUAGUGUAAUCCUAGUAGGAUUGUGUUGGUUGGAUGUUUUUAUCCAAGGGAAUUUCUAUUAUAAAGAGUAUCCUACUUGUAAUGGAAUUGUUUGACAAGUGGUGUAAGGGUUGAUGUAAAAUCCUUGGGUGUUUAGGUUUGUUAGUUAGGUACCCAGGUCUUACGAGGCAUGUUGGUGGUGUAUGUCUCGAGGACUACUCUCGAGGACAUUUGGGGAAGGUAAACGUGUCCUCGAGGUAUCUCGACGACUAUGAUAUCUCGAGGACUUGGGUUACCCCGAGGACCAUAGGGAGAGAAAUGAGGUGGGGUAUGUAUUGAGUCCUCGGGGAUACACUCCUCGGGUAUAUCAAUAUUGGCAUAGUCAAAACCUAAACACCCAAGAAUUCUAUAUCAACUCUUAUACCACUUGUCAAACAAUUCCAUUACAAGUAGGACACUAUUUAUAAAUAGAAAUUCCCUUGGAUAAAAACAUCCAACCAGCACAAUCCUACUAGGGGUACACUACCUACCCCUAUAAAAGCAAAACCUUGUGCCAUUAUUCAGGUACGUUUUUUCAUUGUUCUCCAGCACAUAGCCUCACGCAUAUAAUUCCCUUUCUGACUUAAGCAUCGGAGGGGCGACGAGAACACACAUCGUUGCCUUUGUUUCAGAUACCGAAAGAUCACGUUCGUGCUCCUCAUCAGUCAUCAAGCUCGGAAAAUCUACAGGUACGAUAUUUGGUAGCAUCAUUGGCGCCGUCUGUGGAAAACGCUACCAAAAGCCAUGGUAAACACACGUUCAGGUCUUCCACCAGCAAGCUCAUCUGCUCCAAACCAGCCCCCUCCUGAGGAUAUCCCUGUUCCUCAAGAGGAAUCAUCAGAAGUGCCAGAGCCCCAGCCGGCAGAUGUCACUGCUAGAGCCUUUGAAGAGCUCAGACAACAGGUCGCCACACUGACUCAGCUACUAAGUCAAAGAAAUUCGCAUCCGUCACCCACACUAGCAUCCUAGGGGGGUUUUAUGGCUGAUGCUCGAGCUCGAGCUCAAAGACAUGUCCUUGACAAUGGCGGAGCAGGGGCCUCGGGUAUACCACAUGUGACCUCGGCCUCGAGAUCAGUGACCAUGGAGUCCGGGGAACUCGCUAAGAUUAUUCAAGAAGGAAUUACGGCAGGCCUAUUUCAGGGCAACAAAGGGACGACAAGAUUCAGUCCCAACACUCCCUUUACUCCCAAGAUAUUAACAUUUCCCUUGCCAGACAGAUUUAAGUAUUCUAGGAUCAAAGAAUAUGAUGGGACCACCGAUCCAAUCAAUUAUCUUAACGUAUACACGGACGUCAUGAAUCUACAGGUCGCACUAGAUCAGGUGAUGUGCAAGGCCUUCUUGCAAACUUUGACGAAUGCUACUAGGGAUUGGUUCUCAACCUUAGAGCCCAACUCCAUAGCCUCAUUCUCGGAUUUGACGGACAAGUUCUCUGUUUUCUUCGCAAACAGUAAACACAUUAGGAAGACAGCGGCUUCCCUCAUGCAACUUAGAUAAGGGCAAAAUGAGACCCUACAUGACUUUAUGACCAGGUUCAACAAGGAAAGACUUCAGAUUCCCGACCUACACAUAACUGCAGCAGUUUCUGCCCUCACAUAUGCCAUAAAGUGUGAGGCUUUCAAGAUGUCUUUAUCCAAAACUCCGCCAAAGACAGUGAUCAAGCUUCUUACCCGAGCCGAGAAGUACAUAAAUAUGGAGGAAACACUGAACCCGAGAAAGGUUGGACCCGAACCCCCGUGAAGAACAACAUUGGAAAAAACAGAGACAGGAGGUUCCCCCGACGUCAUUCACGCGUUUAAAUACGUCAAAGACCAAUAUAUUGAUGGAGAUCAAGGAUAUGAAGGAACUCAAAUGGCCUGUCAGAAUGAGGUCACCACCCGAAUCCAAGGACAUGAACAAGUACUGUGAGUUCCAUCGGGAUCAUGGGCAUACCACGGAGAACUGUAAGGCCUUGCAACGGGAGAUUGAAGCCCUUAUUAAAAGAGGACUCCUGAGUUCCUACGUCGGUAAUGACAAAUGCUCGAGGAAUGAUCUUGGCAGGGAAAAAGCCCCUGAGGCAAAAAGGGAUGGUCAACCCACUGCUGGAACCAUCAAUAUCAUCAUUGGAGGUAUUGCCUCGGGAGGAGACUCCAACAGUGGAAGAAAACAAUAUGCCCGACAAUAUGCCUUGGCCUCUGGGAUGCCUCAUGGAAAGCUUGAGGAUAUUAUUUUUGGGACCGGGGGCUUAGAAGGUGUAUCACUUCCACAUGAUGACGCCUUGGUAAUCUCAGGGAUUGUGGCCAAUUUUGAAGUAAAGAGAAUCUUGGUUGACAAUGGGAGUGCGGCCAAUAUACUUUCACAAGAAGCUUUGGCCAAAAUGGAAAUCUCAUCUUAGCAGCUCAAAGCGGUUAAAACUCCUCUCCAGGGGUUUGGGGAAGGAGUCAUCACUCCAGAGGGUGUCGUCGAGCUUCCUCUAACUUUGGGUUCUUGCCAGAAAUAGGUUACGGAGAUGACAUCUUUUCAAGUGGUACAUGUCUCAAUGGCCUAUAACGCUAUUUUGGGAAGACCACUCCUGAACAAGAUUAAAGCCAUUGUGUCUACAUUCCACCUGGCCAUGAAGUUUCCAACAAGUAAUGGCGUUGGGGUCGUCCGUGGAGACCAGACAGCUGCCAGACAAUGCUAUGUUGCCAGCGUUCGGGAAAUAAAUAACGACGUCAUGCAAAUCUCGAGGAUUGAGCCCGAGGUCGGGCAACAAAUCAGACUUGCUCCUGUCGAAGAAUUGAUGGAAAUUGAGCUCGAGCAUGAUAUGAAGGUGACGAUUGAUCGAGAUCUUGACGUCACCCUAAAGACAGAACUUGUUCGUUGCUUAUCUCGCAACAUUGACGUUUUUGCCUGGAAGGUUGAGGAUAUGCCAGGGAUAGACCCUAAAAUUGCAGUCCAUAGGCUUAACAUUAGCCCAGGGGCCAGAGCAGUAAAGUAGAGGAAAAGACGGUUUGCCCUAGAACGUUGGGAGGUCAUUCGCAAAGAAAUUAACAAACUCGUCAGUGCCCAGUUCAUUCGGGAGGUCCAAUAUCCCGAUUGGCUUGGCAAUGUUGUUUUAGUGAAGAAGGCCAAUGGUAAGUGGAGGGUCUGCAUUGACUUCACAGAUCUUAACAAAGCAUGUCCAAAGGAUAGUUAUCCCCUACCGCAGAUUGACAACUUGGUGGAUAGCACGUCUGGACAUAAGCUGUACAGCUUCUUGGAUGCAUUUUCUGGUUAUCAUCAAAUCCUCAUGGCCGAGGAAGAUCAAGAAAAGACAUCAUUCAUGGCCGAUUCCACCAUAUACUGUUAUAAGGUCAUGUCUUUCGGUUUGAAAAAUGCAGAGGCAACAUACCAAAUGCUCAUCAACAAAGUCUUUGCUAACUUGAUUGGAAGGAAUGUGGAGGCGUACGUUGAUGACAUGGUGGUCAAGAGCAAACAGGAGGACCAGCAUAUUUUAGAUCUUGAAGAGGUUUUCGAUACCUUGCGAAAGUACGAAAUGAAGUUGAAUCGCCCAAAAUGUGCAUUUGGCGUGGCCUCGGGCAAGUUCUUGGGCUUUAUGAUCACUCACCGGGGGAUAGAGGCCAACCUUGACAAAAUACAAGCCUUAGCGUCUAUGGAAUCACCAAGGAACAAGAAAGAGGUACAGAGGUUGACUGGUAGGAUAGCAGCCUUGAACAGGUUCAUGUCCCGAGCAUCAGACAGGUGCUAUCCCUUCUUCAAAGUCCUCAGAGGAAACCAAGGCUUUGAUUGAAGUGAAGACUGUGAGAAAGCUUUUUAGGAGCUCAAGCAGACAUUGGCAUCUCCUCCUAUUCUCACUAUGCCUGAGCCUGGUGACACCUUAUUUUUGUACCUGGCCGUAUCUCAAAACACGGUCAGCGGGGUCUUGGUGAAAGAAGUUAACAAAGUCCAACAACCUAUCUACUAUGUAAGCAAGGUCCUACUGGAUGCGGAAACAAGGUAUACUUUGGCGGAACAACUUGCCCUUGCCUUGGUUAUAGCAGCACAAAAACUCCGGCAGUAUUUUCAGUCUCACCCUAUUGUGGUGCUCACUAAUCAACCACUUAGGCAUAUACUUCAGAAGCCGGACGUAUCGGAAAGACUGAUGAAAUGGGCAAUCGAGCUUGGAGAAUUUGACAUAGAAUUCAAACCACGCCCAUCUAUCAAAGCCCAAGCACUAGCCGACUUCAUUGCAGAACUAACCCCUAGGCCUCGGGGGCCAGAUGACAGCUCGAGCAUGAGCAAUAAUUUGGACACUUGGCAAAUAUUUGUGGAUGGAGCAUCGAACUCCUCGGGCUCGGGCGCAGGGGUCAUCAUCAUCAGCCCUGACAAACAAACAGAGAUCCAAUGCGUUCUCAGGUUCGAGUUUGAAGCAACCAACAAUGAGGCCGAGUAUGAGGCUGUCGUUAUUGCUAUGGAGCUAGCCCUUUGCCUUGAGCUCGAGUUCGUAAAGAUAUUCAGUGAUUCACAACUGGUGGUCGGACAGAUUGAAGGAUCAUUUGAAAGGAAAGACGAGAAAAUGAGUUUGUACUGUAUGAAGGUUCAGGAUCUUCAACGAAAAUUCAAGAGUUGUGAAAUUGCAAAAAUUGCUCUAAAGGACAACGGAAAAGCCGACGUAUUAUCCAGGCUUGUGUUCAUGGGGGUAGACGGCCUUGAUAGAACAGUUCACAUUAAAAUCAUCACAGAACCCAGCAUCAGUCAAAUCCUCGACAUCAUGGACAUUGACAACGAACCAUCCUGGAUGGACCCAAUCAUAGAAUUCAUCACAAGUGGAAAUCUACCAAGAAAUGCCAGGUUGGCUAGAAGCAUCAGAGCUCGAGCUCCUAGGUACUGCAUGAUCAGCGGUGUUCUCUUUCGUAGAAGUAUUACUCUUCCAUACCUAAGGUGCCUCAGACCAUCAGAGUCAUCCCAGACCCUUGCUAAAGUUCAUGAAGGUGUGUGCGGGAAUCAUCAAGGAGCCAGGGCCUUGGCCUUUAAACUCGUACGAUAUGGGUAUUAUUGGCCAACUAUGAAAAAAGACGCCUCAGAAUAUGUUAAAAGAUAUGAUAGGUGCCAGAUGUUUGGUAAUGUUAUCCACUCACCAGCCGAAGACCUCACCAACAUUAACUGUUCGGCCCCGUUUGAACAAUGGGGAGUAGAAAUCCUCGGCCCCUUUCCUGUGGCAAGAGGUCAAUUAAAGUUUGUUGCUGUAGUAGUAGAGUACUUCACAAAAUGGGUAGAUGCCAAACCUCUCACCACAAUAUCGGAGCCCAAGCUAAGAGCCUUCACUUAGAGAUCUAUCAUUUGCAGGUUUGGGAUACCUAGGGAUGUAAACGAGCCGGGCCGAGUCGGCUCGCGAGCCUAAAAUUUCGGCUCGGGCUCGACCCGGUUAAAAUGACCGAGCUUUUUUGCGGGCUCGAACCGGGCCGAUUGCUCGGCCAAAAAAAAUGGGCUCAGCUCGGGCUUUUUACGAGCCAAGCCGGGCAAGCUCGUUUUCUCCCCAAUUUUUUUUCUUCCCUCCUGCUGCCUUAAAAGGCAGCAAGCUGAAGGCAGCGAACUGCUGCCUGUUUUGCCUUAAAUUUUUUUUAUUAAAAAGCUCGCGAGCUCACGGGCCGGCUCGGGCAAAGCCCGUGUCCCCAAAAUGGGGCUCGACCCGAGCUUAGGCUCGGGUCUACCAAACCCCGAGCCGAGCCACGGGCGGCCCGAGUCGGCGAGCCCGAUUGCCAUCCCUAGGGAUACCAAAGGUCCUCAUCACCGACAAUGGCAGGCAAUUUGACAAUCAACAGUUUAGGGACUUUUGCUCAAACCUUGGGAUUGAUCACCGUCUAACACCAGUUUCGCAUCCUCAGAGCAGGCGACUUGGUUCUGAGGAGGGCUGAAGCUGCAGGUCACCCCCCAGGGAAGCUCGGGCCCAUCUGGGAAGGACCCUUUAAGGUCAUACGACAGGUUCGCAAAGGAGCGUACAGUCUAAGAGACACUUCGGGUAGACCUCUUCCAAGGCCCUGGAAUGCUGAUAAUCUGAAAAUAUAUUACAAGUAACAUUCUCGAUGCCAUCUAGGAGAUUUUCUUUUUAUUCCUGCAUUUUUUCUUCUGAAUAUUAUUUUUGGUUCCUCGGGCCUGCGCGCCCUUGCCUUUUAUUUCUCUAGUUUAGCGGGCCUGCGUGCCCAUGCAUGUUUUCUGUUUUCUCUCAUAAUGAACUACGUUCGGCUUGAUCCCGUUUGGGUACGUAGGCAGCUUGGAUACAAUAUAAAUCCAAGUCCAGUCUGAGAAAUUAGUAAAUUCAAACCUCGGGUAUAACAGCCCUUUAGUUUACUUUGCGUCCAGGAAUCACCAAAGUCUUGCCUCGAGCAAGCUCCAAAGCCUUGCCCGCGCAAGCACAAAAAGCCUUGCCCCGAGCAAGCACUCAAAAAAGCCUUGUCCCGUGCAAGCACCAAAGCCUUGCCCUGCGCAAGCACAAAAAGCCUUGCCCGCGCAAACACAAAAAGCCUUGCCCCGAGCAAGCACUCAAAAAAGCCUUGCCCCGUGCAAGCACCAAAGCCUUGCCCCGAGCAAGCACCAAAGCCUUGCCCCGCGCAAGCACAAAAAGCAUUGCCCUGCGCAAGCACCAAAGCCUUGCCCUGUGCAAGCACAAAAAAGCCUUGAUCAUAUACUCAAGCGUAAACCGUUAUAGUAACACCCGGAGACAUACAAAAAUCCUACAUCAUUUUUUACAAUCCCUUGAGGAUAUCACAUGAGCAAAUAACAACUAUUUAAGUUAGUUGUGCUCGAGGUUUACAGUCCUCGAGAAUAUUACAACCCAACUUUUUAAGUUAGUUGUGCUCGAGGUUAACAGUCCUCGAGAAUAUCACAACCCAACUUUUUAAGUUAGUUGUGCUCGAGGUUUACAGUCGUCGAGAAUAUCACAUCCCAACUUUUAAGUUAGUUGUGCUCGAGGUUUAGAGUCCUCGAGAAUGUCGCAUUAUUUCAUUUUAAUCCCUUAAGAUUAUAUGCUCGAGUUGUAGAAUCCUCGAGUAAACUCUUCAAUGUUGCAUGAGCAGUUAAUUUCCAAUUUGUUUGCUCGAAUGUAUGAAGUCCAAGGGGUCGGGAUAAAUAGUUCAAAUAAAUUAACUUCAGAACAUACAUAGUCCUCGAUCAAAAUACAUGUUCAAAGUUUAAACAAAAAUUACAAAAGAUCGGGGUGGGGAAGUCAUCCAAUGUGGCCAAGAGGAGGGUCGAGGUUGCUAAUGUUGAUCUCAACGUCAUCCUCAAGACCGUCCUCCUCAUCUCCGCCCGAUCCUCCUCCAUCUUCUGAACCCGAGAGCUCCAAAGUAUCAGGAAUGGAAGGCACUGUCUUCAGGUCAUCCGGAGUGACGUCGGGCAACUUCUGACGGAGGAAGGCUCGGGCUUCUUUCAGAGCAUGGAAGUACGCCCCCGACGCGUACUCCCCUUUUAUCUUGUCACAGUCCUCGGAGGUUUUAAACUCCUCCCAGGCCCUCUCCCUAACAGCCGCGAGCUCGCGCUCAAAAUUCUCUGUCUUCUGGAUAAGCUCGAGCCUCGCACCCUCGACCUCAUCCUUUGCUACAACAAGGUCAUCCCUGGCCUUUGCAGCCUCCAUCCUUGCGUCAUCACGCUCCUUCAAUAAAACCUCGACUGAGCCUCGAGGUCUUGAAUCCUACUGUCCUUGGAGGCCAUGGACUUCUCGACCCCAGCUGCCCUCUUGGCCUCCUCGAGUCCUUGCAAAGAAAGUCCUCGAGCUACACUCAACAUCUUGAAAAAAUGAAGAAAAUGUCAAGUAUUAAUCUCGACCAAAAAACUUGAGGCUAGAAGUCGAAAGUUCGAAGAUUACCUUCACCGUAAGACCCUUGAGGACCUUCAUCCCAUCCUCGAGCUUCACCUCCUCUUUGUAUUUGUUUACGAGCUUAGGAGCGAGGUGGCGAGUCUCAAAGUCCCCGGUAAGAUACGGGUCAUCCUCAAGGUCAACCACUUCAGAAAGAGGUCGAGGAGUGACGACCCGAGGAGUGGGAGAUCUAAGGUUCGGUUGCAGAUGUUUCGCCAGGCCCCCUCACACCCUCAGGAGUUCCUCGAGGCCUCUUCUUGCCUUUCUUCUUCGGGGGUUGCCCCUGUGGAUGAGUGUCAGUCCUUGUGCUGACAAAGUUCCGAAGAGCCCAAGGAUCAAAAGACAUACCUGCAAAAAUUUACAAACAUUUUAGAACGAGCACAAGGUCAGGCUAUUUUUCAAAAAAAAUAAUAAAGGAACAUCCCUACCCUCGACGCCUCUAAUAUCUGCCAGGUCUAUAACCUCUUCCCCAAUCUCCUUCAUCGUCGAGAAAAGGGGGCUGAGCCCGACCAGCAUCCUCCUAUGCUCUUCCAAAACAUCCGGAUACACUUGGCCCUCACAGAACUUCUCGGCGUCGGGGAUUCCCCAAUCAGGCCAGAAAGGAAGGUUGGGUUCUUGGGCUAUAACAUAAAACCACCCCUCCCUCCACCCCUUCAAAGAGCUCAUCAUCCUCGGGACUUUAAAACCUCCAAUCGUCGAGAGAUAGCCAAAACAAGUGUAUCGAGGAUGCUUCUUAAGCUCGAACACUAAUUUACUGAGGCCAAUGUUGGGCUCGAUACCUAAGUAUCUACAUGCUAUAAAAAAAUGAACGAGCAUUCUCUAGGCGUUGGGCACUAACUGCCCCGAGCACAUGGAGUGCUCGACUAAUAGAGCAAUGAAGAAGGGGCUACCUAAAGCCAGCCUUAAGGGUCUCCCUAAAAAUAACAAACUCCCCUCGUCGUGCUCGAACAAUCCUAUCCUCGGGGUCAGGAAAUCUAACAUCGCAAUUAGGCAUUAUACCGUAUUCCCUAGCUACAGCUAUGGCUGAGUGCUCUUUAAGCCUGCAGGGUUUGUCGGGAUACUCAAAAACCAUAUUAACCUGAGCCUCAGGAGUAGCCUCUAGGGGAAUAGCCAUUGGUAUUAUCGAGGUCCCUACGUCAUCACUACUACUAGAACUACUAGAAGAAUCUCGACCCUCACUACUCGACAUCACUUAGCAAACUUAAGACCUAGCUUAUGAAUAACUUAAAGUCUCGAGCCUUACCUGGAGUUCCUGACGACUUGAGAAGUUUCCAAAGUGUUUCUCUCGAGCACGACCUCGCAGAAUUCAGAUUUACAGUGGGUAAAAGUGAAAAAUAAAGGUGAGAACAACAGUAUUUAUAGGUGAAAACGACGGGAGGCCAAAAGUCGCUAUCUACGACCGUCCACGAAGACAUGUGUCACAAAUCCAAGCCCUUCUCUGCAACGGUCAUAUCUCGACCUCUAUCAUCAGCCAUCACUUCUCGACGACGAUUCAAGAAAUGACAUAACCCAUGUGCACCCCAUCCUAAGAGCUCGAUCUCUAGGACGAGUGCACGGGGGCCAGUGACGAUGCUAGUAUUGAUACACCCCGAGGAAUACAUCCCGAGGACUCCAUAUAUACCCCAUAUCAUCUCUCUGCUAUGGUCCUCGGGGUCUCCCUAAGACCUCGAGGUAUUAUUGUCCUCG